GGCGAACGCUGGCGGCGCGCCUAACACAUGCAAGUCGAACGAGCGAGAGAGAGCUUGCUUUCUCGAGCGAGUGGCGAACGGGUGAGUAACGCGUGAGGAACCUGCCUCAAAGAGGGGGACAACAGUUGGAAACGACUGCUAAUACCGCAUAAGCCCACAGCUCGGCAUCGAGCAGAGGGAAAAGGAGCAAUCCGCUUUGAGAUGGCCUCGCGUCCGAUUAGCUAGUUGGUGAGGUAAUGGCACACCAAGGCGACGAUCGGUAGCCGGACUGAGAGGUUGAACGGCCACAUUGGGACUGAGACACGGCCCAGACUCCUACGGGAGGCAGCAGUGGGGAAUAUUGCACAAUGGGGGAAACCCUGAUGCAGCGACGCCGCGUGGAGGAAGAAGGUCUUCGGAUUGUAAACUCCUGUUGUUGGGGAAGAUAAUGACGGUACCCAACAAGGAAGUGACGGCUAACUACGUGCCAGCAGCCGCGGUAAAACGUAGGUCACAAGCGUUGUCCGGAAUUACUGGGUGUAAAGGGAGCGCAGGCGGGAAGACAAGUUGGAAGUGAAAUCUAUGGGCUCAACCCAUAAACUGCUUUCAAAACUGUUUUUCUUGAGUAGUGCAGAGGUAGGCGGAAUUCCCGGUGUAGCGGUGGAAUGCGUAGAUAUCGGGAGGAACACCAGUGGCGAAGGCGGCCUACUGGGCACCAACUGACGCUGAGGCUCGAAAGUGUGGGUAGCAAACAGGAUUAGAUACCCUGGUAGUCCACACCGUAAACGAUGAUUAAAAGGUGUUGGAGGAUUGACCCCCUCAGUGCCGCAGUUAACACAAUAAUUAAUCCACCCGGGGAGUACGACCGCAAGGUGGAAAUCCAAAGGAAUUGACGGGGGCCCGCCCAAGCAGUGGAGUAUGUGGUUUAAUUCGACGCAACGCGAAGAACCUUACCAAGUCUUGACAUCCCUCGACGAUGCUGGAAACAGUAUUUCUCUUCUGAGCAAGGAGACAGGUGGUGCAUGGUUGUCGUCAGCUCGUGUCGUGAGAUGUUGGGUUAAGUCCCGCAACGAGCGCAACCCUUAUGGUCAGUUACUACGCAAGAGGACUCUGGCCAGACUGCCGUUGACAAAACGGAGGAAGGUGGGGAGGACGUCAAAUCAUCAUGCCCUCUAUGACUUGGGGUACACACGUACUACAAUGGCGUUAAACAAAGAGAAGCAAGACCGCGAGGGGGAGCAAAACUCAGAAACAACGUCCCAGUUCGGACUGCAGGCUGCAACUCGCCUGCACGAAGUCGGAAUUGCUAGUAAUCGUGGAUCAGCAUGCCACGGUGAAUACGUUCCCGGGCCUUGCACA
RNAcentral lists this ribosomal RNA (1338 nucleotides) under uncultured bacterium. RNAcentral describes it as "bacterial SSU rRNA". It matches the Rfam family "Bacterial small subunit ribosomal RNA", at positions 28 to 1387 of the family's 1533-position model. The record is from RNAcentral.